RNAcentral lists this non-coding RNA (896 nucleotides) under Stegodyphus mimosarum. RNAcentral's name for it is "Eukaryotic small subunit ribosomal RNA". It matches the Rfam family "Eukaryotic small subunit ribosomal RNA", at positions 99 to 846 of the family's 1831-position model. The record is from Rfam by way of RNAcentral. Lineage: Eukaryota; Metazoa; Arthropoda; Arachnida; Araneae; Eresidae.
CUAUAUAGUCAUGAUAGUAUAACAGAGAUUGUUAUAGUAUCAUGAUUUUAUCGUUUUACUGAUAAAUAGAUUUUAAAAAAGAAAUAUUCAAUCUCAAGUAGAUGGCGGUUUUAAAAGAAAUUUUAUAUAUUACCGAGUGUUACUGAUGGGGAUUCCUCUUCUUCAAGAAGCAAAAAUACUCCCUGCAAUUGUACGAAAUUAACUUAUUGUCCGUAUUAUGUGGUGACUCUGUAUAACUUUGGGCUGAUCCCACGGGUUCGUCCUGGUGACGUGUCUUCAAAGUGUCUGCCCUAUCAACUGUCAAUGGUAGGUUAUGCAUCUACUAUGGUCGCAAUGGGUGGCAGGGAAUCAUGUUCGAUUCCCGAAAGAGAGCCUGAUAAACGGCUACUAUAUCCAAGGAACUCAUCAGGCGCGCAAAUCACCCACUCCCAGAACGAGGAGGUAGUGACGAAAAAUAACAAUACUUUCUUAUAAGGUCCAUGACAAUACGGGACUUAUAUGAAACUCCGUUGAUUGGAAUAAGUGCACUCUUAAUCUUUUAAGGAGGAUCAACUGGGGGUAAGUGGAGGACAACUGAAAUUAGGCGGCCAGCAGCAGCGGUAAUUCCAGCCGUAACAGCGCAGGGAUAAAUCUUUUAAGUCCUGGUAACAGCGUACAUUAAAGUUGUUGCGGUUAAAAAGCUCGUAGCUGUAUCUUAGUUCCAGACGGGUGGUCCGCCUACAGGUGGUUACUGCCUGUUCUGAACAGCUAACCGGUUUCCUUUGAUGAUCUUCAGCGGUUGUCUUGGGUGACUGGCAAGUUUACUUCGAAAAAAAUUAGAGUUCUCGUAUGUCUCUUAAAUCGACGAAGUAAACAUUAAGAGAACCGAAAUGAAAAGCCGAAGAACCACAAGUCUG